Molecule: ribosomal RNA, 503 nt
Filed under: uncultured bacterium
Lineage: Bacteria
Description: partial 16S ribosomal RNA
Rfam family: Bacterial small subunit ribosomal RNA
Source: RNAcentral
AUUGAACGCUGGCGGCAGGCUUAACACAUGCAAGUCGAGCGGGGUGAUGGUGCUUGCACUAUCACUCAGCGGCGGACGGGUGAGUAAUGCUUAGGAAUCUGCCUAUUAGUGGGGGACAACAUCUCGAAAGGGAUGCUAAUACCGCAUACGUCCUACGGGAGAAAGCAGGGGAUCACUUGUGACCUUGCGCUAAUAGAUGAGCCUAAGUCGGAUUAGCUAGUUGGUGGGGUAAAGGCCUACCAAGGCGACGAUCUGUAGUGGGUCUGAGAGGAUGAUCCGCCACACUGGGACCGAGACACGGCCCAGACUCCUACGGGAGGCAGCAGUGGGGAAUAUUGGACAAUGGGGGGAACCCUGAUCCAGCCAUGCCGCGUGUGUGAAGAAGGCCUUAUGGUUGUAAAGCACUUUAAGCGAGGAGGAGGCUCUUUUGGUUCAUACCCAAGAUGAGUGGACGUUACUCGCCGAAUAAGCACCGGCUAACUCUGUGCCAGCAGCCGCCGUAA